RNAcentral lists this ribosomal RNA (478 nucleotides) under uncultured bacterium. Its description in RNAcentral is "partial 16S ribosomal RNA". It matches the Rfam family "Bacterial small subunit ribosomal RNA", at positions 28 to 523 of the family's 1533-position model. The record is from RNAcentral.
GACGAACGCUGGCGGCGUGCUUAACACAUGCAAGUCGAACGGAAAGGCCCUUCGGGGUACACGAGUGGCGAACGGGUGAGUAACACGUGGGUGAUCUGCCCUGCACUUCGGGAUAAGCCUGGGAAACUGGGUCUAAUACCGGAUAGGACUCCUGGCUUCAUGGUUGGGGGUGGAAGGCUUUUGCGGUGUGGGAUGGGCCCGCGGCCUAUCAGCUUGUUGGUGGGGUAAUGGCCUACCAAGGCGACGAAGGGUAGCCGGCCUGGGAGGGUGACCGGCCACACUGGGACUGAGAUACGGCCCAGACUCCUACGGGAGGCAGCAGUGGGGAAUAUUGCACAAUGGGCGCAAGCCUGAUGCAGCGACGCCGCGUGAGGGAUGACGGCCUUCGGGUUGUAAACCUCUUUCAGCACAGACGAAGCGCAAGUGACGGUAUGUGCAGAAGAAGGACCGGCCAACUACGUGCCAGCCGCCGCCGUAA